UACGGGGGGGCAAGCGUUGUUCGGAAUUACUGGGCGUAAAGGGCUCGUAGGUGGCCAACUAAGUCAUACGUGAAAUCCCUCGGCUUAACCGGGGAACUGCGUCUGAUACUGGAUGGCUUGAGGUUGGGAGAGGGAUGCGGAAUUCCAGGUGUAGCGGUGAAAUGCGUAGAUAUCUGGAGGAACACCGGUGGCGAAGGCGGCAUCCUGGACCGGUAUUGACGCUGAGGAGCGAAAGCCAGGGGAGCAAACGGG
Molecule: ribosomal RNA, 252 nt
Filed under: uncultured bacterium
Lineage: Bacteria
Description: partial 16S ribosomal RNA
Rfam family: Bacterial small subunit ribosomal RNA
Source: RNAcentral